CCCCAGAUGUUGCUGAACUACAACUCCCAUGAUUCUCUGGCUAUCUUUGUAAUUCAUGGGAGUUGUAGUUCAGCAACAUCUGGGG
Non-coding RNA from Pelobates cultripes (western spadefoot toad), 85 nucleotides. NCBI's taxonomy places the organism in Eukaryota, Metazoa, Chordata, Amphibia, Anura, Pelobatidae. The record is from the annotation of a GenBank genome assembly.